UACCAAGCAAUUUUUGAUUCGAUGAAGACAAGUUAAAAGCGUUGGAAUUUUGUUAAUUAAAACUCCUCUCUGGCCACCAGUUGUAUCUUUUAAUGGAUUCAGAUCAAAUGGUGCAAGGCUGUCGACUUCUAUCUUGGAUAGAAAAGCUGGGAAAAAAGUGUCACAUUAAUUUUAACAAUAAGAACAAGUCAGAUAAUAUGCUACAUCAUGAUUACAGGGAGCAAAAGUCAUAGAACAACCAAUUAGAUUAGAAUUGAAAGAAAGAAAACAGUUUCAAAGGAGAUACGAGAUGUGAGCAUUAGCCAGUCUGUGGCAAUAAGAAAAAGACAAGGUCUCCAGACAAGUAGAUGGAAAGAAUUCAGCCAUUGUUCUGAAUGAAUUACUAAAGGCCGAGUGUGAAAUAGCAUGAGGAUACAGAAUCCCAAAAUGUUGAGGGCAGAGCAGGAGUUUGCACACACUCAGGCUCAUUUCUGUAGAACAUGCUAGAUCUUCACAAAGACCGGGACAAGGCAGCGUGUGAGACAAUGCUUUCCUUGGUGAUGCGAGGCUGAAUGAGUGGCAGGACCACUGUUACUCUAUCUGGUACCUCCUCCACUAAAGAACAAAAUGCUAAACUAUUAGUAAAGGGAAAGGCAGCAAAAGUUUUUGCCCAAGAGCACAGGUAAAGACCAAUUGCAUCUUGAAGAAAGAAAAGAAAAAAAAAGAAAGGAAAAGAAAAGAAAAGAAAAAUACCCUCUCCUCUUGGAGAAAGAGCAGGAAACCCUCCUAUGCCCAGACCACUGGGGGUCUCCUGCUGUUCUAAUGUGUUUAUGUGGGACCAAUCCAAAAAUACCCAUCACCUUGUGUCCACUGUUUGUGCGCGAAAGGGAUCCAGAAAUACUCAGCCUCUGACAAAUUUCCUUUUCCAGCGUUAGGCCAUUGAGGAAUUGUAGAGAGAGGGUAUGCCUAUUUUCCCUUCUACUGAUCUCUUUAUCCCAUGAGGUAUCCAGUAGUUAAAGAGCCUAGAUGUCAGUCAGCAAUAUGCAUUAUGAUCAUCCCCACUGAAGUUAAAGAGACAACUAGAAAUAAGAUCAAAUGUAAAUAAGGCAAAACAUUAGAAUGAUACCUGAGUGCUAUCUGCAAGUAUUCAGACAUUUCCGUGCUUCUCCUAUACAUUCACCAUGCUACUUUCCUUAAAAAGUAUCAUGGUCUUAAAACUACAAAAAAAUCUGAGGAGUUCGAUUUUAGGAACAUUAUUACCAUUAUGGCCACUAGCAAUAUAAAUGUAUUAACUUUAUAGCAAACUCACUAGGAUAUAGUGUUCAAAAAUGUCAAAUAACUUUAAAGACUUUGAAUAUAAUUCUGAAGAGAUUUCAUGGAAAAUAAUCGAAUAAUUAUUUAAAAUUAAGUUUUGUGAAGUUUUAGGGGAAUAAAAAGAUGCCAAAAUGGAUUCACAGUAAACUAAUAAUACUAAACUUCUUUCUUUCACUAUUCAUCACUCCCUUCAUAUGUUGUCUUCUUUGCCUACAAAUAUUAGAUCCUAUGUGGGUGCACUCCCUUACAAACAUCAUUAAUACUUCUGACUUAAUACUUUAAUUAAUUAAUUAAUUAAUUAAUAGUUGCUCACUAAUCAUAUCAACUUGACAAAGUCCUAACUUUAGUUAAGCUCAGCAAUCUGCUUUCAAGAAGCUAUAUUACCCAAAAACAUCUCAAAAGUAUGUUACGUGGUCUCUUUAAACUCGUGACCGUCAGCCUUGUAUUGGCAUUCAGCACUAAUAAAUUACCACUAGAUGUGGUAAUGUGAAUCCGUUUUCACAUUUGCCAUACCCAGAAUCACUUCUCAAUAUGAUCUCACUUCUGUUUUCUGAUGGUAAUAUCAUCUUUGUUGAUAGACAGAUCCGGAUCAUGUGGAAGAUUAGUUCCUUCCCCUCUUGGGAGUUCAAUGCAGAGCUCUGUUCUGGGCAGCAGAGGGCCUUGGCUGACGUCAGCUCCCCCCCAACCACGAGGACCGGGCUCUCACCGCGGUCCUCACUGCGCAGAACUCGGGCCCGAGUGUGCACACUGUCUGGUGUUCUUUAGGCUACUCCGAGAUAUUUUUUGUUUGUUUGUUACUUAGAGAAAAUAGAAGUUCUGUGGCCCAGCUUAGGCUGACCUGUAAGUGUGUAACGCAGUGCAGGGCAGAGCGCCCUGUGGCCGGGCCCACCUGCAGCCCACCCACGAUCCUCGCUGCUGGGCCCUUGGCCUGUCUGGGUGUGGAGCCCCUCUAUGCCACCUGGGCUGUGGGAUGACCAGAGGUGUGGGGUUGGGUGCACGCUAACAUGUUUCUGCUAUAAGGUUUCCUUCCAUAAACGUUAGGUAGCAUCUGCUCUUUAAGGCAGUGUGUUCGAGAUGCUCUUGGUUGACAACUUAUUUUUUUUCUUUUUUCAAUUGAGAAAAUAGAAACGGUCUGUUGGGAACUCACUUACCUUUCUUCAGUUAAACCUGCCGAGAGAAGCAGUUUAGCUGAGGGCUUAGCAGCAUGCUCUCUGGAGCCCACCUGAUGGGCUUUGAAUCCCGCCGCCCAGCCAUCAGCUGUGCAACCUUAAGCAAAAUGCUUUUCUGUUGUGUGUCUCAGUUUCCUUAUCCAUGAACAGUACAGGGAUAACACUUUGCAGGGUUGUAAUGAGGAUUCAUUUAACAGACGUAUACUGCUUCAAACAGUCUUACAUAUAAUAAACCAGUAUUAGUUUUUGUUAAAUAAAUAAUGCCUAUCUACAACUAAAACGGAAGCCUCUGUGUUUCUAACCAUUACUGUGAGGAAUGGAAGGGCUCGCCCUCUCAAAGGCCGCCUCCACGGUUGGUUCUGGAUCAGAGCCUACUGAGAACUUCAUUCUUGCAUGCCAUGAAUUUUUCUAACUCUGGGUCUUUCUGACUGGCAUAAAAUUGUUCUUAUUGUCUCUCUAAUUACCUCUUAUCCUCUCUACCUACCUUAAUUGUCCUCUUUGACAAUAAGUUCAUAAAAAUAGAUUAUUUGUGGCAAAUUGCAUUUUGCAAAAUUGUCCUUAGCAAUAUUUCUGGAUUCUCUCCAGAAUGUUACUGGUCUCAUCAAGGGGUAGAUUCCUCCCCACCUUUCCUUGAACUCAGUGGGGUUUCGUUACUCCAUCUAUACUUAGAAUGUUGGAGGGGAUAUUGUGUGACUUCUGAGCAUAGAUGAUAAAAGAUGAUACGGUUUCACCUGACGCUCUCUCUUGGGAUAUUUACCCUGUGGUCCAACCAUCCUGUAGUGAAGAAGCCCAGGCAAUACGGCAUUGCCAAGUUUAGGAGAUCAUGUUCAACAGCCCCAACUAGCGUUCGCCUCCAGAGAGCUUCAUCCUCCAAACAUGUGAACAGGGAAAGCUUCAGAUAAUUCCUUCCCUCAGCCUUUGAAUCUUCUAGUUUGAGGGCCCAUGUACUAUGGAGCAGAGACAAACUAUCCCUGUCAUGACCUGUUCAAAAUCCUGACCCACAAAAUGCAUGUGCAUAAUAAAUCAUUGCUGUAUGAUGCUGACUUGUGAGGCAAUCUGUUAUACAGCCACAAUAACUGGAGCAUUUGAUUAUAAUAAUUAGAGUGACUACAUCAGGGCGCGGCAAUUUCCAUUAGGAAAUGCCAAGUUGACGGAGAUAUGGAAAUUGUAAAAGAAAAGUUAAAAUAAAUGAAGAAAUCUCCCAGAGGUUCUGAAUUCCCUCUGACAGAAUUUCUAGGAAAAGAUUAUGAAAAAAGCAAUUAGAAAUAAAUAAAAGAAGGAUUCCCUAAAGGUGAAGAAAGACUCUUCGUUUUAUGCGGCAUGUACAGGUUUGGCCAUUAUUAUAUCCUAAAUUAUUCAACCUACAUGAUUAGAAAACCUAUUAAUGGUAAUUUUAUUCUUUCUACUUUUAGGUUUUAAAAAGUUAUUUUAAACUUUCUCAUACUCAGGCUGUGUUAAACGUGUAAUAUAAAUUAAAAUAAAAAUUCAAAACAAGUGUAGUAAAGUUUAAAAGAGUCUGUAGUAGAGCACUGUAUCAAGUUUAUUUUACUUGAAACACUGUCAUUUUAGAAUGUUUAUCUGAUUGCUGUGACUCUAAAAAAAGGAAGCAUCCUUCUUUGUAUGAUUCUUGACAUUUGAUAUAUUGAUUAUUGACUUUGACAAGAAAAUUAGUUUUAGUUUUCAAAAAGCAGGACAUUGUUUAUUCAUAAUUCAUAAACACACUGUAAUUUAAGUUUUUAAAACUUCUGUCUUAAAGCAAAUGAUGAUGGAUUUAUAUAAUUUUCUGUUUUCUUUGAAUAAUCUCUUUAUAUCAAUUUUUCCCUUAAUAUUUUGGAUGGAAUACUAGAAAUUACAUACCUGUUUUGCUAGUGACAGAUAUGUAAUUAGUCAUUACUUUUACCUACAUAAUUUGGUGUAUCUCCAAAAUUCUCAAUUAAAUAAUUUUAUAAUUAAGUGAAAAUGGAAACAUCCUCGUAUUGUGAUAUAUGGAGCAUUUCAAGAUUUUGGUAUCACUCUAAUACUUACCAUUAUUAAUAAGGGCACUACCUGUACAUUGGUGGUUUUUAGUAGCCCUGCUUGUACAAAACUACUUAUUUUUUCCAGUUCGCCGUUUGUUUGUAACUGUGUAACAACAACUCUUUGAUCUGCUCAGGACCUUCGGUGCGCUGACCUUAGUCACAUUUCCUCUUCCCCUCCCCGCCCUUCAUGUCCUCUCUUCUCUCUCAAUUGUUUUUCAUGUCCCACGGCUAGGGUCACUUUCAUGCAUACUUUCAUCUCUCUGGCUUCUUUGUUCUUCCGUUACAGACGCAAGGUCAAUACCUCGUGCUGGUUAAACUUGAACUGGAUGCCAACUUCAUGUCUACACAUGAAGGAAUUGAUACCACUUUGUAGAUACACAUCCUUCUCUCGUGUUGGACCAGGUGCAUUAAUAGGAAUAAGAAGAACUAUGAAUGGGUGCUAAAAAUGUGACUAUGAGAUUAAACAAAUAAAGAGGCAUUCCACAUUAAGCAUACUUUCUCGUCACU
Vicugna pacos (alpaca) is the source of this 4987-nucleotide non-coding RNA. Lineage: Eukaryota; Metazoa; Chordata; Mammalia; Artiodactyla; Camelidae. The record is from RefSeq and is a predicted model, not a curated record.